UACAGAGGGUGCGAGCGUUAAUCGGAAUUACUGGGCGUAAAGGGUGCGUAGGUGGUUGAAUAAGUUAGGUGUGAAAUUCUCGGGCUUAACCUGGGGACUGCGCCUGAUACUGUUUAACUAGAGUACUGUAGAGGAAGGUGGAAUUUCCGGUGUAGCGGUGAAAUGCGUAGAUAUCGGAAGGAACAUCGGUGGCGAAGGCGACUUUCUGGACAGCUACUGACACUGAGGCACGAAAGCAUGGGGAGCAAACAGG
RNAcentral lists this ribosomal RNA (253 nucleotides) under uncultured bacterium. RNAcentral describes it as "partial 16S ribosomal RNA". It matches the Rfam family "Bacterial small subunit ribosomal RNA", at positions 524 to 776 of the family's 1533-position model. The record is from RNAcentral.